CAAGUCGAACGAUGAAGCCUUUCGGGGUGGAUUAGUGGCGAACGGGUGAGUAACACGUGGGCAAUCUGCCCUUCACUCUGGGACAAGCCCUGGAAACGGGGUCUAAUACCGGAUAACACUCUGUCCUGCAUGGGACGGGGUUAAAAGCUCCGGCGGUGAAGGAUGAGCCCGCGGCCUAUCAGCUUGUUCUGGGGUAAUGGCCUACCAAGGCGACGACGGGUAGCCGGCCUGAGAGGGCGACCGGCCACACUGGGACUGAGACACGGCCCAGACUCCUACGGGAGGCAGCAGUGGGGAAUAUUGCACAAUGGGCGAAAGCCUGAUGCAGCGACGCCGCGUGAGGGAUGACGGCCUUCGGGUUGUAAACCUCUUUCAGCAGGGAAGAAGCGAAAGUGACGGUACCUGCAGAAGAAGCGCCGGCUAACUACGUGCCAGCAGCCGCGGUAAUACGGAGGGUGCAAGCGU
This 465-nucleotide ribosomal RNA is filed under the name Streptomyces sp. RNAcentral's name for it is "bacterial SSU rRNA". It matches the Rfam family "Bacterial small subunit ribosomal RNA", at positions 58 to 541 of the family's 1533-position model. Lineage: Bacteria; Bacillati; Actinomycetota; Actinomycetes; Kitasatosporales; Streptomycetaceae. The record is from RNAcentral.